This 474-nucleotide ribosomal RNA is filed under the name uncultured bacterium. Its description in RNAcentral is "SSU rRNA". It matches the Rfam family "Bacterial small subunit ribosomal RNA", at positions 26 to 518 of the family's 1533-position model. The record is from RNAcentral.
AGGACGAACGCUGGCGGCGCGCCUAACACAUGCAAGUCGAGCGAGAACCAGGGCUUGCCCUGGGGAAAGCGGCGAACGGGUGCGUAACACGUGAGCAACCUGCCCCAAAGACCGGGACAACCCGAGGAAACUCGGACUAAUACCGGAUGCCCUCACCGGGCCGCAUGGUCUGGUGAGGAAAUGGAUUCCGCUUUGGGAUGGGCUCGCGGUCUAUCAGCUUGUUGGUGGGGUAACGGCCUACCAAGGCGACGACGGAUAGCUGGUCUGAGAGGACGAUCAGCCACACUGGGACUGAGACACGGCCCCGACUCCUACGGGAGGCAGCAGCAAGGAAUUUUCCGCAAUGGGGGCAACCCUGACGGAGCAACGCCGCGUGACGGAUGACGCCUCUUGGGGUGUAAACGUCUUUUGCCGGGGAAGAGAACGGACGGUACCCGGCGAAUCAGGACCGGCUAACUACGUGCCAGCAGCCGC